GGACGAACGCUGGCGGCGUGCCUAAUACAUGCAAGUCGAACGGUCUUUCUAUGGAAGCUUGCUUCCACUGAGAAGAUAGUGGCGAACGGGUGAGUAACACGUGGGUAACCUGCCCAUAAGAGGGGGAUAACAUCCGGAAACGGGUGCUAAUACCGCAUAGUUUUCUUGAUCGCAUGAUUGAGAAAGGAAAGACGGCCUUUGUGCUGUCGCUUAUGGAUGGACCCGCGGCGUAUUAGUUAGUUGGUGAGGUAACGGCUCACCAAGACGAUGAUACGUAGCCGACCUGAGAGGGUGAUCGGCCACAUUGGGACUGAGACACGGCCCAAACUCCUACGGGAGGCAGCAGUAGGGAAUCUUCCGCAAUGGACGAAAGUCUGACGGAGCAACGCCGCGUGAGUGAAAGAAGGUUUUCGGAUCGUAAAACUCUGUUGUCAGAGAAGAACAAGUUGGAGAGUAACUGCUCCAGCCUUGACGGUAUCUGACCAGAAAGCCACGGCUAACUACGUGCCAGCCGCGGC
Molecule: ribosomal RNA, 518 nt
Filed under: uncultured bacterium
Lineage: Bacteria
Description: bacterial SSU rRNA
Rfam family: Bacterial small subunit ribosomal RNA
Source: RNAcentral